UUGGAGGGCAAGUCUGGUGCCAGCAGCCGCGGUAAUUCCAGCUCCAAUAGCGUAUAUUAAAGUUGUUGCAGUUAAAAAGCUCGUAGUUGAAUUUCGGGAUCAAUGUUUCGGUCAUGCCCUUGGCAUGUACUGAUAUUAUUGGUUUCUCACCUUCUAAAGAACCGUAAUGCCAUUAAUUUGGUGUCACGGGGAAUUAGGACUGUUACCUUGAAAAAAUUAGAGUGUUUAAAGCAGGCUCACGCUUGAAUACAUUAGCAUGGAAUAACGAAAUAGGACAUCCGAUUCUAUUUUGUUGGUUUCUAGGAUCGAUGUAAUGAUUAAUAGGGAUAGUUGGGGGCAUUAGUAUUCAAUUGUCAGGGGUGAAAUUCUUGGAUUUAUUGAAGACUAACUACUGCGAAAGCAUUUGCCAAGGAUGUUUUCAUUAAUCAAGAACGAAAGUUAGGGGAUCGAAGACGAUCAGAUACCGUCGUAGUCUUAACCAUAAACUAUGCCGACUAGGGAUCGGAUGAUGUUAAUUUUUUAAUGACUCAUUCGGCACCUUACGGGAAACCAAAG
RNAcentral lists this ribosomal RNA (555 nucleotides) under uncultured Glomus. Its description in RNAcentral is "SSU rRNA". It matches the Rfam family "Eukaryotic small subunit ribosomal RNA", at positions 548 to 1103 of the family's 1831-position model. The record is from RNAcentral. Lineage: Eukaryota; Fungi; Glomeromycota; Glomeromycetes; Glomerales; Glomeraceae.